UGCCUAACACAUGCAAGUCGAGCGAAGCGAUUUAGCGGAAGUUUUCGGAUGGAAGUUAAAUUGACUGAGCGGCGGACGGGUGAGUAACGCGUGGGUAACCUGCCUCAUACAGGGGGAUAACAGUUAGAAAUGACUGCUAAUACCGCAUAAGCGCACAGCAUCGCAUGAUGCAGUGUGAAAAACUCCGGUGGUAUGAGAUGGACCCGCGUCUGAUUAGCUAGUUGGUGGGGUAACGGCCUACCAAGGCGACGAUCAGUAGCCGACCUGAGAGGGUGACCGGCCACAUUGGGACUGAGACACGGCCCAAACUCCUACGGGAGGCAGCAGUGGGGAAUAUUGCACAAUGGGGGAAACCCUGAUGCAGCGACGCCGCGUGAGCGAUGAAGUAUUUCGGUAUGUAAAGCUCUAUCAGCAGGGAAGAAAAUGACGGUACCUGACUAAGAAGCCCCGGCUAACUACGUGCCAGCAGCCGCGGUAAUACGUAGGGGGCGAGCGUUAUCCGGAUUUACUGGGUGUAAAGGGAGCGUAGACGGCAUGGCAAGCCAGAUGUGAAAGCCCGGGGCUCAACCCCGGGACUGCAUUUGGAACUGUCAGGCUAGAGUGUCGGAGAGGAAAGCGGAAUUCCUAGUGUAGCGGUGAAAUGCGUAGAUAUUAGGAGGAACACCAGUGGCGAAGGCGGCUUUCUGGACGAUGACUGACGUUGAGGCUCNGAAAGCGUGGGGAGCAAACAGGAUUAGAUACCCUGGUAGUCCACGCCGUANACGAUGAAUACUAGGUGUCGGGUGGCAAAGCCAUUCGGUGCCGCAGCAAACGCAAUAAGUAUUCCACCUGGGGAGUACGUUCGCAAGAAUGAAACUCAAAAGGAAUUGACGGGGGACCCG
Molecule: ribosomal RNA, 881 nt
Filed under: uncultured organism
Description: SSU rRNA
Rfam family: Bacterial small subunit ribosomal RNA
Source: RNAcentral